AGAGUUUGAUCCUGGCUCAGGACGAACGCUGGCGGCGUGCUUUACACAUGCAAGUCGAACGGAGAAGCACCUUCGGGUGUGGAUCAGUGGCGAACGGGUGAGUAACACGUGGGUAACCUGCCCCUCACUUCGGGAUAACUCCGGGAAACCGGGGCUAAUACUGGAUAUCACCAGACCGGGCAUCCGGACUGGUUGAAAGGGUUUACUGGUGAGGGAUGGACCCGCGGCCUAUCAGCUAGUUGGUGGGGUAAUGGCCUACCAAGGCGACGACGGGUAGCCGGCCUGAGAGGGCGACCGGCCACACUGGACUGAGACACGGCCCAGACUCCUACGGGAGGCAGCAGUGGGGAAUAUUGCGCAAUGGACGAAAGUCUUACGCAGCAACGCCGCGUGAGGGAACGAAGGCCUUUGGGUUGUAAACCUCUUUCAGCAGGGACGAAGCGAAAGUGACGGUACCUGCAGAAGAAGCACCGGCUAACUACGUGCCAGCAGCCGCGGUAAUACGUAGGGUGCAAGCGUUGUCCGGAUUUAUUGGGCGUAAAGGGCUCGUAGGCGGUCUGUCGCGUCGGAAGUGAAAACCUGGAGCUCAACUCCAGGCCUGCUUUCGAUACGGGCAGACUAGAGUUCGGUAGGGGAGACUGGAAUUCCUGGUGUAGCGGUGGAAUGCGCAGAUAUCAGGAGGAACACCAAUGGCGAAGGCAGGUCUCUGGGCCGACACUGACGCUGAGGAGCGAAAGCGUGGGUAGCAAACAGGAUUAGAUACCCUGGUAGUCCACGCCGUAAACGGUGGGCGCUAGGUGUGGGGAACAAUCUACGUUUUCCGCGCCGCAGCUAACGCAUUAAGCGCCCCGCCUGGGGAGUACGGCCGCAAGGCUAAAACUCAAAGGAAUUGACGGGGGCCCGCACAAGCGGCGGAGCAUGCGGCUUAAUUCGAUGCAACGCGAAGAACCUUACCUAGGCUUGACAUAUGACCAGAGCAUGCAGAGAUGUAUGUGCAUUUAGUUGGGGUCAUACAGGUGGUGCAUGGCUGUCGUCAGCUCGUGUCGUGAGAUGUUGGGUUAAGUCCCGCAACGAGCGCAACCCUCGUCCUAUGUUGCCAGCGGGUAAUGCCGGGGACCCAUAGGAGACCGCCGGGGUCAACUCGGAGGAAGGUGGGGACGACGUCAAGUCAUCAUGCCCCUUAUGUCUAGGGCUGCACGCAUGCUACAAUGGCCGGUACAAAGGGCUGCAAAAUCGUAAGAUUAAGCGAAUCCCAUAAAGCCGGUCUCAGUUCGGAUUGGGGUCUGCAACUCGACCCCAUGAAGUCGGAGUCGCUAGUAAUCGCAGAUCAGCAACGCUGCGGUGAAUACGUUCCCGGGCCUUGUACACACCGCCCGUCACGUCACGAAAGUCGGUAACACCCGAAGCCGGUGGCCUAACCCUUUAUUGGGAGGGAGCUGUCGAAGGUGGGACUGGCGAUUGGGACGAAGUCGGAACAAGGUA
Molecule: ribosomal RNA, 1482 nt
Filed under: metagenome
Description: bacterial SSU rRNA
Rfam family: Bacterial small subunit ribosomal RNA
Source: RNAcentral